This is an RNA transcript of Prunus dulcis (almond), 2272 nucleotides long. It is a transcript of the gene named protein ENDOSPERM DEFECTIVE 1-like, with no coding region annotated. Lineage: Eukaryota; Viridiplantae; Streptophyta; Magnoliopsida; Rosales; Rosaceae. The record is from RefSeq and is a predicted model, not a curated record. The transcript is spliced from 6 exons.
CGUUAGGACUUGACAACGGCUAGUUCUUUGUUUCGUUCCUAAAUUUGCACCCCCAGUUCUGUUUCACUUUAAGGCUUCUGGUUCAACCAAUAUUAGAGGACCGGAGGAUUGGAGAAGAGCUCAUUAAAGGAGUCGACCGGGAGAAGGUACGGCUUAACCUCAAUUCUCAAAUUGGGAGUCUAGGUGAAUUCUAACAUUAUUCUCAGAUUCGGUUAUAUGUGCUUGCCUCGAUUGAUUUGUGCGUUUAUUAAAGAAUAUGGAUCAAUUGAUGGUGGAAAGUUGCGGAUCUGCCACCGUAGAAGACGCAGCAGCUUGCGCUCCUCCCCAUCCUCCUCCCCCUCCUCCGCCGACUGCUUACCGGAGGCCAAGAGUGAGGGAGGUGAGCUCUAGGUUCAUGUCUCCUGCGGUUUCCACUGGUGAUCUCCCUCAUCCCCUGCCUACUAAAUCGCCCCUCCCGAAACAUCAUCAACAUGGCAUCUCAACUCCAAGCUCGACGCUUGCGGAAAUUCAGUCGAGGCAGCGCUCUUCCUCUGUGAAUAGGCGGCGGAGGCACUUGGACUUGGAGCCCUUCCGCUGCUCCGACGAGAACAGACCCACCGGCUUCUCCUCCAUUCACACUCCGAGUCAGAGUUGGGAAAUCCCUCUCCCACCUGAACAUAUGCUUAAUUAUACUGGGAGGAAACAGCGUCCUGUGAAGCCAUUCAAAGAAAACGGAGGCGGCAAAGUCCAACAGCAACAGCAGAAGCAGCAUCUUACAAAAACCUGCACCGGGAAAGGCGGCAAUGCUUUUACCACAACCUCAAGACCUGACACACCCAUGGUGACUGCUAGUCUAGAUAGGACGUCUAGAUUCAGGCUCAUUCAGCAACGGUCUACCAACAUCACACCCACAGCAGCCGCUAAGCUCUUGCAGUCUAGCGGGAUGUCUUUACCUGCUCUACCUACCAAUCUAGUUACUGAGACUGAGGCAAACACCCGAGACGCCACUUCUGCUCCCCAACUUGAUCCUUCUUCACCAAGCUCACUUCCCGAUGUCAAUAAUCAGAGUCAAAUGCCAGUUGUACCAAGCUGCUCAACAAGGUGUCUUCCUGAUAUCCGCUCUUCCAUGCCUGAGGCCGAUUUGUUGCCAUCCGUUUCUAGUAGACAGCUCGUUGACAAAAGUAGCAGCAGCAGGGGUAUUGCAACUGUCACUGUCAGUGACGAUUUUUUAAAAUGUUCUGCUUCCCCUUGCUCCCGUUCUCUGAAAUUGCCAUUAUCAAGUUCCGACAUCUUAUCCUUCCAGCCAAACAAAGGGAGUGAAAGAUUAACAUCUGUGCUGUCCAAGCCAUAUACAAACACAGGGAAGAUGGGGGGCUUAUGUCUUCCCCCUGUCCCACCAUCUACAAGUGCAAAGCUGAGCUCAGAUACAAGGAGAGGAAAGAAAGUUUCUGGACACCUAGAAGACGUGCACUCCUUGAGAGUGCUUCAUAACCGCUAUCUGCAGUGGAGAUAUACCAAUGCAAGAGCAGAGGCUUCCAUGCAAGCACAGCAGAGAGAAACUGAGAGAACACUUUAUUCUCUUGCGGUAAAGAUAGCAGAACUAUAUGAUUCUGUCAAGAGGAAACGGAUAGAACUCGGCAUUUUGCAAAGAACAGAGACUUUAUCAGCAAUUCUUGAUGCUCAAAUUCCAUAUUUGGACCAGUGGUUUGCUCUUCAAGGGGAUCAUUCAAGUUCUCUGGCAGAAGCAACACAAGCUUUGUCGAAUGCCUCAUUUCAACUUCCAAUCAGUGGCAAUGUUAGGGUCGAUCUACAAGAGGUAAAAGAGGCACUGAACUCAGCAGUGGAAGUGAUGGAGAUCAUAGAUCUCCAAGUUCAGCGAUCUACAGCAAAGAAGAAACAGAAAAUUUGAUUUCAGAACUAGCCAGAGUGACUGGUGGAGAAAGAGCUCUUAUUGAAGAAUGUGGAAAUAUGUUGUCCAAGACAUAUACAACGCAGGUGGAAGAGUGGAGCUUAAGGGGCCAGAUAAUCCAGUUGAAACGUUGCUGUUCUUGAAAAGCAUUUCUUCAACGAAGACUGAGCAAUGAAAUACUUAUUGCGUUGAGAAUGUCUUCUUUAUUUCGUUGCUGCGAAAUGCAUACUUAUUUGUUACGACUUAUUUGAGCCCCUCCCCCCCAUCUCUCUCUGUCUCUCUGUCUCUCUCACGCGUUAUAUACAACCCAUUUCUUCACAGGGAAUCCAUUUGUACCAGGGAUUGCAGGUUGUACAAUACAAUUUGAUCCGAAUUGUUCAGGAA